This 322-nucleotide ribosomal RNA is filed under the name uncultured eukaryote. Its description in RNAcentral is "partial 18S ribosomal RNA". It matches the Rfam family "Eukaryotic small subunit ribosomal RNA", at positions 1470 to 1796 of the family's 1831-position model. The record is from RNAcentral.
CCCUUAGAUGUUCUGGGCCGCACGCGUGCUACACUGAGUGGAUCAGCGGGUCAGGUUGCGCGAAAGUGUUUCCUAAUCUUUAAAUCCGCUCGUGAUGGGGAUUGACGGUUGCAAUUUUCCGUCAUGAACGAGGAAUACCUUGUAAGCGCGGGUCAUCAUCCCGCGCUGAAUACGUCCCUGCCCUUUGUACACACCGCACGUCGCUCCUACCGAUUGAGUGGUCCGGUGAGGCUUUGGGAUCUGAGCGGAAAGAGCGUUUCGCUGUUUCUGCCCGGAAAACUCAGUCGAACCUUAUCAUUUAGAGGAAGGAGAAGUCGUAACA